RNAcentral lists this ribosomal RNA (497 nucleotides) under uncultured bacterium. Its description in RNAcentral is "partial 16S ribosomal RNA". It matches the Rfam family "Bacterial small subunit ribosomal RNA", at positions 28 to 507 of the family's 1533-position model. The record is from RNAcentral.
GAUGAACGCUGGCGGCGUGCCUAAUACAUGCAAGUCGAGCGAACGGACGAGAAGCUUGCUUCUCUGAUGUUAGCGGCGGACGGGUGAGUAACACGUGGAUAACCUACCUAUAAGACUGGGAUAACUUCGGGAAACCGGAGCUAACACCGGAUAAUAUUUUGAACCGCGUGGUUCAAAAGUGAAAGACGGUCUUGCUGUCACUUAUAGAUGGAUCCGCGCUGCAUUAGCUAGUUGGUAAGGUAACGGCUUACCAAGGCAACGAUGCAUAGCCGACCUGAGAGGGUGAUCGGCCACACUGGAACUGAGACACGGUCCAGACUCCUACGGGAGGCAGCAGUAGGGAAUCUUCCGCAAUGGGCGAAAGCCUGACGGAGCAACGCCGCGUGAGUGAUGAAGGUCUUCGGAUCGUAAAACUCUGUUAUUAGGGAAGAACAUAUGUGUAAGUAACUGUGCACAUCUUGACGGUACCUAAUCAGAAAGCCACGGCUAACUACGUG